GUGAAUCAUCAAAUUUUUGAACGCAAAUUGCACUCUCCUCUGAGAGUAGGCCUGUUUGAGUUUCAGCCUAUAAAAAAUCGACAUCGUUUCUGUUUCGCUGUGGCUUUCGUCGGAAAUUUGCUCAUCUUAAAUCCUUUGGAUUUAAGCGACUUAAAAUUUUCUUUUGGUUCCAGGAACUUUUCUAAGAUCUAGUUCUUUACACUGUUAAGGUAUCGAUUUUUACUAUACGCCACCAUCAUAUCUGAGCGCGGCCAUAAUCUUUCA
RNAcentral lists this unclassified non-coding RNA (264 nucleotides) under Glomus sp. Its description in RNAcentral is "partial internal transcribed spacer 2". The stretch from base 1 to 65 matches the Rfam family "5.8S ribosomal RNA", at positions 84 to 154 of the family's 154-position model. Lineage: Eukaryota; Fungi; Glomeromycota; Glomeromycetes; Glomerales; Glomeraceae. The record is from RNAcentral.